AUUGAUAACCUGCCUUUGAGAUGGGAAUAACUGCGUUUCGAGCAAUCGGAACUACCGAAAGGGCUGCUAAUACCCAAUAAUACUAUAGGUGCAAAAGCACUUGUGGUCAAAUGCUAGGAAUUCUGUUCCUUGUGCUUAAAGAGGGGUUAAUGUCCUAUCAGCUAGUUGGUGGGGUAAUGGCCUACCAAGGCAAAGACGGGUAGCCGGCUUGAGAGGGUGGUCGGCCACACUGGGACUGAGACACUGCCCAGACUCCUACGGGAGGCUGCAGUCGAGAAUCUUUCGCAAUGCCCGAAAGGGUGACGAAGCGACGCCGCGUGUGGGAAGAAGGCCUUCGGGUUGUAAACCACUGUCGGGAGUUAGGAAAUGCAGGUGCGUUAAUAGCGCACUUGCUUGACUAAGGCUCCAGAGGAAGCCACGGCUAACUCUGUGCCAGCAGCCGCGGUAAUACAGAGGCGGCAAGCGUUGUUCGGAAUUAUUGGGCGUAAAGAGCACGUAGGCGGCCUUGCAAGUCAGUUGUGAAAGCCUUCCGCUUAACGGAAGAACGGCAUCUGAUACUACAGGGCUUGAGUACGGG
This 577-nucleotide ribosomal RNA is filed under the name uncultured bacterium. Its description in RNAcentral is "bacterial SSU rRNA". It matches the Rfam family "Bacterial small subunit ribosomal RNA", at positions 117 to 652 of the family's 1533-position model. The record is from RNAcentral.